GGAGAAUCAGGUUCCGUUCUUUCU
This 24-nucleotide non-coding RNA is filed under the name Arabidopsis thaliana (thale cress). The record is from RNAcentral. Lineage: Eukaryota; Viridiplantae; Streptophyta; Magnoliopsida; Brassicales; Brassicaceae.